GGGGUUGUGGCUCAGAGGUAGAGUGCUCACCUAGCAGGCGGGAGGUACUGGGUUCAAUCCUCAGCACCACA
Molecule: transfer RNA, 71 nt
Filed under: Marmota monax (woodchuck)
Lineage: Eukaryota; Metazoa; Chordata; Mammalia; Rodentia; Sciuridae
Description: tRNA.Ala
Source: RNAcentral